UACGUAGGGGGCAAGCGUUGUCCGGAUUUAUUGGGCGUAAAGAGCGUGUAGGCGGCUUUACAGGUCCGCUGUGAAAACUCGAGGCUCAACCUCGAGCUGUCGGUGGAAACCGUUUGGCUAGAGUCCGGAAGAGGAGAGUGGAAUUCCUGGUGUAGCGGUGAAAUGCGCAGAUAUCAGGAAGAACACCCGUGGCGAAGGCGGCUCUCUGGGACGGUACUGACGCUGAGACGCGAAAGCGUGGGGAGCGAACAGG
Molecule: ribosomal RNA, 253 nt
Filed under: uncultured bacterium
Lineage: Bacteria
Description: partial 16S ribosomal RNA
Rfam family: Bacterial small subunit ribosomal RNA
Source: RNAcentral